GAAAGCUCAGCUGGUUAGAGCUGAGCAUGAUGCUGGUAACAUCAAUGUUGCAGGUUCGAUCCCUGUAUGGGACA
Non-coding RNA from Podarcis lilfordi (Lilford's wall lizard), 74 nucleotides. Lineage: Eukaryota; Metazoa; Chordata; Lepidosauria; Squamata; Lacertidae. The record is from the annotation of a GenBank genome assembly.